Molecule: ribosomal RNA, 603 nt
Filed under: Phomopsis sp. FH-2012c
Lineage: Eukaryota; Fungi; Ascomycota; Sordariomycetes; Diaporthales; Diaporthaceae
Description: eukaryotic LSU rRNA
Rfam family: 5.8S ribosomal RNA (bases 229-382)
Source: RNAcentral
GGAAGUAAAAGUCGUAACAAGGUCUCCGUUGGUGAACCAGCGGAGGGAUCAUUGCUGGAACGCGCCCCAGGCGCACCCAGAAACCCUUUGUGAACUCAUACCUUACUGUUGCCUCGGCGCAGGCCGGCCCCCUCGGGGCCCCCCGGAGACGGGGAGCAGGCCCGCCGGCGGCCAAGUCAACUCUUGUUUUUACACUGAAACUCUGAGGACAAAUAAUAAAUGAAUCAAAACUUUCAACAACGGAUCUCUUGGUUCUGGCAUCGAUGAAGAACGCAGCGAAAUGCGAUAAGUAAUGUGAAUUGCAGAAUUCAGUGAAUCAUCGAAUCUUUGAACGCACAUUGCGCCCUCUGGUAUUCCGGAGGGCAUGCCUGUUCGAGCGUCAUUUCAACCCUCAAGCCUGGCUUGGUGAUGGGGCACUGCUUUCUCACGGGAGCAGGCCCUGAAAUUCAGUGGCGAGCUCGCCAGGACCCCGAGCGCAGUAGUUAAACCCUCGCUCUGGAAGGCCCUGGCGGUGCCCUGCCGUUAAACCCCCAACUCUUGAAAAUUUGACCUCGGAUCAGGUAGGAAUACCCGCUGAACUUAAGCAUAUCAAUAAGCGGAGGA